GUCUUUGAAUCGCCGAGGAGAUAUAAGCUUCAUCAGUUGAUCCGAAGAAAAGAGACCCCGAGGGUUCAAGUCUUGGUAACCCAUCCUAAACCAUCGCCUCCCUUCUGGCCAAAAGAGAACAAGAUGCUAUAAGGGCUCUUUCUCUUCUUUCUCUAUUUUCGCCUCCACUACGGUGCGCGGUUCUUGGAUCCAUAAGGGCUUUGCUUUUGAUCCCCUCUUGUUGGGUAUUGUUAUGCUUCUAGUUUGCUUAGAUUCUAAAGGUC
This 263-nucleotide unclassified non-coding RNA is filed under the name Hevea brasiliensis (rubber tree). The record is from RNAcentral. Lineage: Eukaryota; Viridiplantae; Streptophyta; Magnoliopsida; Malpighiales; Euphorbiaceae.